UUUUCCGGGUGUGAGNCAUGCCGGAGGUUACUGCUAUCGAGGUUCGACUAAGCCAUGCGAGUCGAAUGUAGCAAUACAUGGCGUACUGCUCAGUAACACGUGGACAACCUACCCUCCGGACGGGUAUAAACCCGGGAAACUGGGUAUAAUCCCCGAUAGAUCUCGGUCGCUGGAAAGCCCCGAGAUCGAAAGCUCCGGCGCCAGAGGAUGGGUCUGCGGCCUAUCAGGUAGUAGUGGGUGUAGCGUACCUACUAGCCUACGACGGGUACGGGUUGUGAGAGCAAGAGCCCGGAGAUGGAUUCUGAGACACGAAUCCAGGCCCUACGGGGUGCAGCAGGCGCGAAAACUUUACAAUGCCGGCAACGGCGAUAAGGGGACCUCGAGUGCCAGGUUACAAAUCUGGCUGUCGUGAUGCCUAAAAAGCAUUGCAUAGCAAGGGCCGGGCAAGACCGGUGCCAGCCGCCGCGGUAACACCGGCGGCUCGAGUGGUAACCGUUAUUAUUGGGUCUAAAGGGUCUGUAGCCGGCCAGAUAAGUCUCUUGAGAAAUCCAGCAGCUCAACUGUUGGGCUUUCAGGAGAUACUGUCUGGCUCGAGGCCGGGAGAGGUGAGAGGUACUUCAGGGGUAGGGGUGAAAUCUUGUAAUCCUUGAAGGACCACCAGUGGCGAAGGCGUCUCACCAGAACGGACCUGACGGCAAGGGACGAAAGCUAGGGGCACGAACCGGAUUAGAUACCCGGGUAGUCCUAGCCGUAAACGAUACUCGCUAGGUGUCGGCCACGGUGCGACCGUUGUCGGUGCCGUAGGGAAGCCGUGAAGCGAGCCACCUGGGGAAGUACGGCCGCAAGGCUGAAACUUAAAGGAAUUGGCGGGGGAGCACCACAACGGGUGGAGCUUGCGGUUUAAU
Molecule: ribosomal RNA, 905 nt
Filed under: uncultured archaeon
Lineage: Archaea
Description: bacterial SSU rRNA
Rfam family: Archaeal small subunit ribosomal RNA
Source: RNAcentral